Molecule: ribosomal RNA, 465 nt
Filed under: uncultured bacterium
Lineage: Bacteria
Description: partial 16S ribosomal RNA
Rfam family: Bacterial small subunit ribosomal RNA
Source: RNAcentral
GACGAACGCUGGCGGCGUGCUUAACACAUGCAAGUCGAACGGAAAGGCCCCUUUGGGGGUACUCGAGUGGCGCACGGGUGAGUAACACGUGAGUAACCUGCCCUUGACUUCGGGAUAACUUCAGGAAACUGGGGCUAAUACCGGAUAGGAAUCCUUGCUGCAUGGUGGGGGUUGGAAAGCUUCGGCGGUUUUGGAUGGACUCGCGGCUUAUCAGCUUGUUGGUGGGGUAGUGGCUUACCAAGGCUUUGACGGGUAGCCGGCCUGAGAGGGCGACCGGCCACAGUGGGACUGAGAUUCGGCCCAGACUCCGACGGGUGGCAGCAGUGGGGAAGAGUGCAAAAGAGGCGGAAGCCUGAGGCAGCAACGCCGCGGGCGGGAUGACGGCCUUCGGGUUGUAAUCCGCUUUCAGCAGGGGCGAAGCUUGUGGUGACGGUACCUGCAGAAGAAGCACCGGCUAACUACGUG